ACUAUAGUCGACUCACUUCCAUCUGUGUCAGACGUUGCCUAAUUAACCAUAGUGCUUUUGUCCACAGAAAUUGGACUCCGCUUCAGAAUUCUUCUGAGCACAGCAUCCCAGAGCACCCCUGUACACAGUCUACCACGUAACACAAGAGGCACCAAGUAGAAGUUUUGUUGGAUCUAAUUUCUACAUAAAGAUACAGAAGCUGUGUUCCAGACACCCAACGCAUUAAGGCAAAGUUGUGAGGCACAUCUUAUGAGAAGAUAACUGCUCUUCCAGCUCACAGAAUAGAAAGAACAAAAUAUCUGAAUCCAAAAAGAAAAUAUAACUGGGAAUUUUAGUGCU
RNAcentral lists this long non-coding RNA (339 nucleotides) under Suricata suricatta (meerkat). RNAcentral's name for it is "lncRNA (ENSSSUG00005006282.1)". Lineage: Eukaryota; Metazoa; Chordata; Mammalia; Carnivora; Herpestidae. The record is from RNAcentral.